This 440-nucleotide ribosomal RNA is filed under the name uncultured bacterium. Its description in RNAcentral is "partial 16S ribosomal RNA". It matches the Rfam family "Bacterial small subunit ribosomal RNA", at positions 338 to 795 of the family's 1533-position model. The record is from RNAcentral.
CCUACGGGAGGCAGCAGUGGGGAAUAUUGCACAAUGGGGGAAACCCUGAUGCAGCGACGCCGCGUGAGUGAAGAAGUAAUUCGUUAUGUAAAGCUCUAUCAGCAGGGAAGAAAAUGACGGUACCUGAGUAAGAAGCCCCGGCUAACUACGGGCCAGCAGCCGCGGUAAUACGUAGGGGGCAAGCGUUAUCCGGAUUUACUGGGUGUAAAGGGAGCGUAGACGGAAGUGCAAGUCUGGAGUGAAAGGCGGGGGCUCAACCCCCGGACUGCUGUGGAAACUGUACGGCUGGAGUGCAGGAGAGGUAAGUGGAAUUCCUAGUGUAGCGGUGAAAUGCGUAGAUAUUAGGAGGAACACCAGUGGCGAAGGCGGCUUACUGGACUGUAACUGACGUUGAGGCUCGAAAGCGUGGGUAGCAAACAGGAUUAGAUACCCUAGUAGUC